This is a non-coding RNA of Oryctolagus cuniculus (rabbit), 752 nucleotides long. Lineage: Eukaryota; Metazoa; Chordata; Mammalia; Lagomorpha; Leporidae. The record is from RefSeq and is a predicted model, not a curated record.
UCUGCGGGGCAUCAACGCGCGGCAGUCAGGCCCCGGCCCGGCUCAGCCGCACCGCCCCUUGCGGCAGUCGCUGUGCGGGGCCGGCGUUGAGUCAGAGUAGCCCGGAACCCGCCGCUUCUCCUCCGACUCCCACAACCCAGCCCCGCGCCUCCCGAACCCGGGUCGCCCAGUCGGCUCCUCCCGCUCCUCCGAGGGCUUCCGGGAUCCGCCUCACCCGAGGGGCGGCCGGAAAGGCGGGGCGCUGAGAGCGGCGGCCCCUACCGGAGCCCGCGAAUCGGCCGGAAUCGGCGGCGGUGGGUUGCUCCAGCAGGCCGUACUUGGAGGGGUGGGGCGGUCCCUCCGGAAGCCUCACUCCGUGAAUUCCAGGGAACCUCAGAGACAGUGUAACAUCCGCAGGCUUGAGCCCAUGGGAAGGAGACCACCUGUGCUCAUCUUACGAUCAGAAGGCGGACACCAGGCUGUCUGGAAAAGAGGAAAUUAGCUGGUGAUAGAGCGCUGUAUUCUAAGCUCAUGGAGAUCACCGUUCCCCACACCCCAGCCCAAGGAGGGUUCCCUGAGUGGGGGCCCUGGGUAGCAGCCGCCCUGCGCUUACUUGGGGAGUCGUGGCCCUCUGCCGCAGGGGAGCUCAGCACCACCAGGAUCGCCAGCACAGCUGCUCUACGAAGGCUUCUGGGAAGCAGCAGCGCCAUCCCCCGAGACAUACUUGAGAACAAGGGAAGAAGCGAAUGGCAGUCAGCAAAGCUUGCCCCAAA